Molecule: ribosomal RNA, 817 nt
Filed under: uncultured Planctomycetota bacterium
Lineage: Bacteria; Pseudomonadati; Planctomycetota
Description: bacterial SSU rRNA
Rfam family: Bacterial small subunit ribosomal RNA
Source: RNAcentral
AGUCGAACGAAUCCCGGUGGGCAACUGCCGGGGGAAGUGGCGAAAGGGGCAGUAAGGCAUGGGUAACCUACCCCGGGGACUGGGAUAGCCAUUCUAACGAGUGGGUAAUACCGGGCGAUGUAAGCGAGGGGCAUCUCUUGCUUACGAGAUGAAUUUCGCCUCGGGAGGGGCUCAUGUAGUAUUAGCUAGUUGGUGGGGUGACGGCCCACCAAGGCGAAGAUGCUUAGCGGGUGUGAGAGCACGACCCGCGCCACUGGCACUGAGACACUGGCCAGACUCCUACGGGAGGCUGCAGUCGAGGAUCUUCGGCAAUGGGCGCAAGCCUGACCGAGCGACGCCGCGUGGACGAUGAAGGCCUUCGGGUUGUAAAGUCCCUUUAGCGGGGGAGGAAGGCGCAAGCUUGACCGACCCCGAGAAUAAGCACGGGCUAAGUUCGUGCCAGCAGCCGCGGUAAGACGAACCGUGCGAACGUUGUUCGGAAUCACUGGGCUUAAAGGGCGCGUAGGCGGCUGCGCAAGUCCGGGGUGAAAGCCCCCAGCUCAACUGGGGAAGUGCCUUGGAUACUGUGCAGCUCGAGCGAGGUAGGGGUCGUGGGAACUUCCGGUGGAGCGGUGAAAUGCGUUGAUAUCGGAAGGAACGCCGGUGGCGAAAGCGCACGACUGGACCUCUCCUGACGCUGAGGCGCGAAAGCCAGGGGAGCAAACGGGAUUAGAUACCCCGGUAGUCCUGGCCCUAAACGAUGGGUACUAGGUAGUGGGCUUACAUGGGCUCACUGCCGAAGCAAAAGUGGUAAGUACCCCGCCUGGGGAGUAUGGUC